RNAcentral lists this ribosomal RNA (612 nucleotides) under Myxococcus sp. RNAcentral describes it as "bacterial SSU rRNA". It matches the Rfam family "Bacterial small subunit ribosomal RNA", at positions 56 to 649 of the family's 1533-position model. The record is from RNAcentral. Lineage: Bacteria; Pseudomonadati; Myxococcota; Myxococcia; Myxococcales; Myxococcaceae.
UGCAGUCGAGCGCGAAUAGGGGCAACCCUUAGUAGAGCGGCGCACGGGUGCGUAACACGUGGAUAAUCUGCCUGGAUGCUCGGGAUAACCAGUCGAAAGAUUGGCUAAUACCGGAUAAGCCCACGGUUUCUUCGGAGACUGAGGGAAAAGGUGGCCUCUGUAUACAAGCUAUCACAACCAGAUGAGUCCGCGGCCCAUCAGCUAGUUGGCGGGGUAAUGGCCCACCAAGGCGACGACGGGUAGCUGGUCUGAGAGGACGAUCAGCCACACUGGAACUGAGACACGGUCCAGACUCCUACGGGAGGCAGCAGUGGGGAAUUUUGCGCAAUGGGCGAAAGCCUGACGCAGCAACGCCGCGUGUGUGAUGAAGGUCUUCGGAUUGUAAAGCACUUUCGACCGGGACGAAAACCCGUAGCCCAAUACGCUACGGCUUGACGGUACCGGGAGAAGAAGCACCGGCUAACUCUGUGCCAGCAGCCGCGGUAAUACAGAGGGUGCAAGCGUUGUUCGGAAUUAUUGGGCGUAAAGCGCGUGUAGGCGGCGUGACAAGUCGGGUGUGAAAGCCCUCAGCUCAACUGAGGAAGUGCGCCCGAAACUGUCGUGCUUGAGUGC